This 229-nucleotide long non-coding RNA is filed under the name Ananas comosus (pineapple). Its description in RNAcentral is "long non-coding RNA (ACOM_LNC044635)". The record is from RNAcentral. Lineage: Eukaryota; Viridiplantae; Streptophyta; Magnoliopsida; Poales; Bromeliaceae.
GACCACUGAACGGACAGAAUUUUUCCUGUACGUCCUAGGCGUCGCAAUCAAUACAAUGUACGAAGUUCCAACCAGGAACACAUUUCAAUCAAGGAUUGCAUAAGGAAGUAUCAAAAACAUAAAACUACUUACUAUUACAAGCAUUCACCUUACAUGUAUUUUACAUCACAGAUUUUUUUUACAUUCAACUUCCAAAAUAUAAUCUAGUCAAUACAAUUUAUUAACAACU